UACUAGCGGUCCAAGUCGCAGCCAUUUUUAUUGGGUCUAAAACAUCCGUAGCUUGCUUAGUAAGUCCCUUGUGAAAUUCUAUAUCUUAAGUAUGGAGCGUGCAAGGGGUACUGCUGAGCUAGAGACUGGUAGACGUAACGAGUACGUUUGGAGUAGCGGUAAAAUGUGUUAAUCCCAGACGGACUAACAAUAGCGAAGGCAUGUUACGAGAACAGUUCUGACAGUAAGGGAUGAAGGCUAGGGGCGCAAAACGGAUUAGAUACCCCCGUA
This 270-nucleotide ribosomal RNA is filed under the name uncultured prokaryote. RNAcentral describes it as "partial 16S ribosomal RNA". It matches the Rfam family "Archaeal small subunit ribosomal RNA", at positions 474 to 743 of the family's 1478-position model. The record is from RNAcentral.